This is a long non-coding RNA of Anas platyrhynchos (mallard), 1167 nucleotides long. RefSeq lists it as uncharacterized. The record is from RefSeq and is a predicted model, not a curated record. Lineage: Eukaryota; Metazoa; Chordata; Aves; Anseriformes; Anatidae.
GGUCUCUGUGGGCCAGACUGUGAACGUGACUCCUGCUGGUAUGUAGCGCUAUUCCCGCUGAACCUGAGGAGCUGCAAAAGUCCCUGCCAUGGAAGCAUUGUGCUUGACUGACUCGGGCUUCCAAGGAAGAGAGGAUGCACAGGCAAAUCCUAAAGCUUUCCAUUCAAUUAGUGAACACCCCUGCUGCUGGCCAUAGGAAUGAACUACAGCUGAAAUGACUAAAAUACUUGAAACGGUUAUUCUACCUCACCCUUGCUUCAGCUGCUGGCAACCAUUAGACUGUUUGUCUCUUCUUUGUCGAACUGGCAUUGCUGGAAGCAACACCACUGGCAUGACAAUGAUUGACAGGAGACACUGCACUGAGAGGCACUAAUUGGGUGAAACAGGAGCAGCAGACCACAGCUCACUGGGCAGUCUCCAGGAAAGGUGAGGGGGCUUGUAAAGCGACCUGGACUCCCUCCUGACAGGGAAAGGACUAGAUGUGAGGGCUGAACAAGAGAGGAAGGAAAUGACUGUGUGAUCUAUAACCCCAAGCAGACAUACAAGCUUGUGUUAUCGAGUCAGCUCUUUGCCGUGGAAGGAAAUGAUGUGAGUGACUAUUCUUUUUGGAUUAAAAAAUGAGAAUUACUGUGGUGCCUGAAAGCAUGAGAGAGCUCUUUGCAUGCCCUAUCAUCUGGAACAUGCUACCUUCCUUUCCAUCCUCUAUGCUGUCACAUUUUUCACAUCGUGGCUCGGUUCUUACUAGAAAAUCUCAUGGAACACUUCUUCAUUUAUCCCUGCAUGGACUGCAUUUUCUCUUUCUCUUGGAAACAUACUAUUCAGAUCCCUUUGACAAUUACAGCAGCUGUUUAAAAACAGCCAAGAUGGUACCUCUUAAUCCAGCUGCUUCAAUAGAUAAAUAGACAAUUCAUUGCCCAAAUGAGUAUGACUACACAGAAAUAAAGUAAAAUAACACCAUCAUCAAGAAAAAGGCUUUGAGAACCUCUGUGCCACCUCAUUUUAAACAUAAGCUUAAAUGCUAGGCUUGAUCCUGACCUGGCUGUAUGUGCCUGUUAUUCUCUCUCGACAUUCCUUACAGAAACAUGGGCAGGCAGCUCACCCUUGCAGUGGAAAGAAAAGGGUGUAUAGUACAGGAGAAACACUGUCAUUCUCUAAUAUUCACAACCU